Long non-coding RNA from Amphimedon queenslandica, 421 nucleotides. RefSeq lists it as uncharacterized. The record is from RefSeq and is a predicted model, not a curated record. Lineage: Eukaryota; Metazoa; Porifera; Demospongiae; Haplosclerida; Niphatidae. The transcript has 3 exons.
UAUAUAGAUCUUCCUUCUAUUGAUUAUGUGACACUUGUCAUUCAAAAAUAUAGUGGUUGGUAAAUAUUUAUAACUAUUCCUUUUUAAUAGAAGCAAUAAUUUUUCUACUCCAUCAGAUUCAUCAAUCCACAGUGAUAGUGUUAUUGCUCUUGGUGUGUCAGUAGGUGUAUUGUUGAUUCUACUAACUGUCAGUGUUGCUAUUAAUAUCUGCUGCUUUAUAAGAAAUAAAGUUCAUUUUGCCACAGGUGCUACUAUUAAAGACCCAAAAGCUGAUAAAGAUAUUGCAUUGCAAGUAUGUCAAACAUAUCAAAUUCAUAAGACUGAAGUUGGGGAAGAGAUUGAAGUGGUCUAUGAUGAAUGUCAUGCAUCACCUGAUGCUACUCGCACAUAUUAUGAACUCUGAUGAUGUACUGAAUAUUGA